AAAUGACGUUAGCGUUACAACAAUAACAAUAAUAUAACAAUAUAAUAAUAACAAUAAUAAUAACAAUAUAAUAAUAAUAACAAUAAUAAUAUUUGCUCGGUUUGAAGAGAUCGAUCACCGGUAGUAUGUAUGUUACAGGGUGGUUAACUUCGCCAGCGGCCCCCUUUCCCGGGGCAGUCCCUGCUCUCCCCUGCUAGAGGGGCACCCUAAUCCGUCACCCCAUCCGACUUCAGAAUGUAUUCGUUGGGUUCGGCAACUCACCACCAGCAUCCAACCAAAUCUAGCGGAUAACGGCGCAUCAACUUAGUUCCUGGUCAGCUCGCAAGUUGAUAUUAUCACGUCCUACACCGUCCAUAUGAUGGGGGGCCACCUCCCAUUUCAUCACUCCUCAAACACCCGAGGAGCCGGCAGGCAGAUUUGAACCCGGGUCGACUGGGUCGACUGGGAGCAGAAGUCAGGCCUUAACCUCUGCCAGCCGCCUGCCAGUAUGUAUGUUGUUACAGGGUGGUCAACUUCGCCAGCGGCCCCCUUUCCCGGGGCAGUCCCUGCUCUCCCCUGCUAGAGGGGCACCCUAAUCCGUCACCCCAUCCGACUUCAGAAUGUAUUCGUUGGGUUCGGCAACUCACCACCAGCAUCCAACCAAAUCUAGCGGAUCAACGGCGCAUCAACUUAGUUCCUGGUCAGCUCGCAAGUUGAUAUUAUCACGUCCUACACCGUCCAUAAGAUGGGGGGCCACCUCCCAUUUCAUCACUCCUCAAACACCCGAGGAGCCGGCAGGCGGAUUUGAACCCGGGUCGACUGGGUCGACUGGGAGCAGAAGUCAGGCCUUAACCUCUGCCAGCCGCCUGCCAGUAUGUAUGUUGUUACAGGGUGGCGUAGCUUCACCAGCGGCCCCCUUUCCCGGGGCAUUCCCUGCUCUCCCCUGCUAGAGGGG
This 934-nucleotide long non-coding RNA is filed under the name Volvox carteri. RNAcentral describes it as "long non-coding RNA (VCAR_LNC000266)". The record is from RNAcentral. Lineage: Eukaryota; Viridiplantae; Chlorophyta; Chlorophyceae; Chlamydomonadales; Volvocaceae.